GACGAACGCUGGCGGCGUGCUUAACACAUGCAAGUCGAACGGUAAGGCCCUUCGGGGUACACGAGUGGCGAACGGGUGAGUAACACGUGGGUGAUCCGCCCUGCACUUCGGGAUAAGCCUGGGAAACUGGGUCUAAUACCGGAUAGGACCACUGCCUGCAUGGGUGGUGGUGGAAAGCUUUUGCGGUGUGGGAUGGGCCCGCGGCCUAUCAGCUUGUUGGUGGGGUGAUGGCCUACCAAGGCGACGACGGGUAGCCGGCCUGAGAGGGUGACCGGCCACACUGGGACUGAGAUACGGCCCAGACUCCUACGGGAGGCAGCAGUGGGGAAUAUUGCACAAUGGGCGCAAGCCUGAUGCAGCGACGCCGCGUGAGGGAUGACGGCCUUCGGGUUGUAAACCUCUUUCAGCACCGACAAAGCGCAAGUGACGGUAGGUGCAGAAGAAGGACCGGCCAACUACGUGCCAGCAGCCGCCGUAA
Molecule: ribosomal RNA, 478 nt
Filed under: uncultured bacterium
Lineage: Bacteria
Description: partial 16S ribosomal RNA
Rfam family: Bacterial small subunit ribosomal RNA
Source: RNAcentral